This 447-nucleotide ribosomal RNA is filed under the name uncultured bacterium. RNAcentral's name for it is "partial 16S ribosomal RNA". It matches the Rfam family "Bacterial small subunit ribosomal RNA", at positions 29 to 523 of the family's 1533-position model. The record is from RNAcentral.
AACGAACGCUGGCGGCAGGCUUAACACAUGCAAGUCGAGCGCGUAGCAAUACGAGCGGCAGACGGGUGAGUAACGCGUGGGAAUCUACCGUACCCUACGGAAUGGCUCCGGGAAACUGGAAGUAAUACCGUGUACGCCCGAAAGGGGAAAGAUUUAUCGGGGUAUGAUGAGCCCGCGUUGGAUUAGCUAGUUGGUGGGGUAAAGGCCUACCAAGGCGACGAUCCAUAGCUGGUCUGAGAGGAUGAUCAGCCACAUUGGGACUGAGACACGGCCCAAACUCCUACGGGAGGCAGCAGUGGGGAAUAUUGGACAAUGGGCGCAAGCCUGAUCCAGCCAUGCCGCGUGAGUGAUGAAGGUCUUAGGAUUGUAAAGCUCUUUCACCGAUGAAGAUAAUGACGGUAGUCGGAGAAGAAGCCCCGGCAAACUUCGUGCCAGCAGCCGCCGUAA